Molecule: transfer RNA, 71 nt
Filed under: Anopheles darlingi
Lineage: Eukaryota; Metazoa; Arthropoda; Insecta; Diptera; Culicidae
Also listed under: 1 other name
Description: tRNA ADAC011062
Rfam family: tRNA
About the family: Transfer RNA (tRNA) molecules are approximately 80 nucleotides in length. Their secondary structure includes four short double-helical elements and three loops (D, anti-codon, and T loops). Further hydrogen bonds mediate the characteristic L-shaped molecular structure. tRNAs have two regions of fundamental functional importance: the anti-codon, which is responsible for specific mRNA codon recognition, and the 3' end, to which the tRNAs corresponding amino acid is attached (by aminoacyl-tRNA synthetases). tRNAs cope with the degeneracy of the genetic code in two manners: having more than one tRNA (with a specific anti-codon) for a particular amino acid; and 'wobble' base-pairing, i.e. permitting non-standard base-pairing at the 3rd anti-codon position.
Source: Rfam by way of RNAcentral
GGCCCGUUCGUCUAUCGGUUAGGACCUCAGAUUUUCAUUCUGGUAAGAGGGUUCGAUUCCCCUACGGGCUA